GUCGAUUUAAUUUAAUUCUAGUGGCGGACGGGUGAGUAACGCGUGGGUAACCUGCCUUAUACAGGGGGAUAACAGUCAGAAAUGGCUGCUAAUACCGCAUAAGCGCACAGAGCUGCAUGGCUCAGUGUGAAAAACUCCGGUGGUAUAAGAUGGACCCGCGUUGGAUUAGCUUGUUGGUGGGGUAACGGCCUACCAAGGCGACGAUCCAUAGCCGGCCUGAGAGGGUGAACGGCCACAUUGGGACUGAGACACGGCCCAGACUCCUACGGGAGGCAGCAGUGGGGAAUAUUGCACAAUGGGGGAAACCCUGAUGCAGCGACGCCGCGUGAAGGAAGAAGUAUUUCGGUAUGUAAACUUCUAUCAGCAGGGAAGAUAGUGACGGUACCUGACUAAGAAGCCCCGGCUAACUACGUGCCAGCAGCCGCGGUAAUACGUAGGGGGCAAGCGUUAUCCGGAUUUACUGGGUGUAAAGGGAGCGUAGACGGUGUGGCAAGUCUGAUGUGAAAGGCAUGGGCUCAACCUGUGGACUGCAUUGGAAACUGUCAUACUUGAGUGCCGGAGGGGUAAGCGGAAUUCCUAGUGUAGCGGUGAAAUGCGUAGAUAUUAGGAGGACACCAGUGGCGAAGGCGGCUUACUGGACGGUAACUGACGU
RNAcentral lists this ribosomal RNA (652 nucleotides) under uncultured Lachnospiraceae bacterium. RNAcentral's name for it is "bacterial SSU rRNA". It matches the Rfam family "Bacterial small subunit ribosomal RNA", at positions 62 to 746 of the family's 1533-position model. Lineage: Bacteria; Bacillati; Bacillota; Clostridia; Lachnospirales; Lachnospiraceae. The record is from RNAcentral.